This 543-nucleotide ribosomal RNA is filed under the name uncultured bacterium. Its description in RNAcentral is "bacterial SSU rRNA". It matches the Rfam family "Bacterial small subunit ribosomal RNA", at positions 354 to 896 of the family's 1533-position model. The record is from RNAcentral.
GUGAGGAAUAUCCGGUCAAUGGACGGAAGUCUGAACCAGCCAAGUAGCGUGCAGGAUGACGGCCCUAUGGGUUGUAAACUGCUUUUGUAUGGGGAUAAAGUUAGGGACGUGUCCCUAUUUGCAGGUACCAUACGAAUAAGGACCGGCUAAUUCCGUGCCAGCAGCCGCGGUAAUACGGAAGGUCCAGGCGUUAUCCGGAUUUAUUGGGUUUAAAGGGAGCGUAGGCUGGAGAUUAAGUGUGUUGUGAAAUGUAGACGCUCAACGUCUGAAUUGCAGCGCAUACUGGUUUCCUUGAGUACGCACAACGUUGGCGGAAUUCGUCGUGUAGCGGUGAAAUGCUUAGAUAUGACGAAGAACUCCGAUUGCGAAGGCAGCUGACGGGAGCGCAACUGACGCUUAAGCUCGAAGGUGCGGGUAUCAAACAGGAUUAGAUACCCUGGUAGUCCGCACAGUAAACGAUGGAUGCCCGCUGUUGGUACCUGGUAUCAGCGGCUAAGCGAAAAGCAUUAAGCAUCCCACCUGGGGAGUACGCCGGCAACGGUG